Molecule: ribosomal RNA, 460 nt
Filed under: uncultured bacterium
Lineage: Bacteria
Description: partial 16S ribosomal RNA
Rfam family: Bacterial small subunit ribosomal RNA
Source: RNAcentral
CCUACGGGUGGCAGCAGUGAGGAAUAUUGGUCAAUGGACGAGAGUCUGAACCAGCCAAGUAGCGUGAAGGAUGACUGCCCUAUGGGUUGUAAACUUCUUUUAUAUGGGAAUAAAAUGUUCCACGUGUGGGAUUUUGUAUGUACCAUAUGAAUAAGGAUCGGCUAACUCCGUGCCAGCAGCCGCGGUAAUACGGAGGAUCCGAGCGUUAUCUGGAUUUAUUGGGUUUAAAGGGAGCGUAGGUGGAUUGUUAAGUCAGUUGUGAAAGUUUGCGGCUCAACCGUAAAAUUGCAGUUGAAACUGGCAGUCUUGAGUACAGUAGAGGUGGGCGGAAUUCGUGGUGUAGCGGUGAAAUGCUUAGAUAUCACGAAGAACUCCGAUUGCGAAGGCAGUUCACUGGACUGCAACUGACACUGAGGCUCGAAAGUGUGGGUAUCAAACAGGAUUAGAUACCCGUGUAGUC